This 29-nucleotide small RNA is filed under the name Bombyx mori (domestic silkworm). RNAcentral's name for it is "ovarian small RNA-36469". The record is from RNAcentral. Lineage: Eukaryota; Metazoa; Arthropoda; Insecta; Lepidoptera; Bombycidae.
UUACCAUACAUGUUAAUUGGCGAUGAAGC